RNAcentral lists this long non-coding RNA (1116 nucleotides) under Monodelphis domestica (gray short-tailed opossum). RNAcentral's name for it is "lncRNA (ENSMODG00000041852.1)". Lineage: Eukaryota; Metazoa; Chordata; Mammalia; Didelphimorphia; Didelphidae. The record is from RNAcentral.
UGAAUCCAGGCUCUUUGAAUCCAAAUCCAUACUUUUCCCACAGCAUCACUCAUCACCAUGAGUGAUCCAAAUGGCCUCAUUCAUGAUUUGACUUUUCACAUUAAUGGAAAAAAACAACAUUUUUGCUUCUUUUUUUCAAAAUGAUUUGUAUAGUUGUCUUGGAUGACAUCACAAUCCUUUCCCGAGUCUUUUCCAGGCAGACCAACAUAUAUUAAUUACUAAGACUUCUCCAACAAUGAUUUUCCAUCCCCCAAAUAAAUCUAAGAAGCAGCAAGCAUUAUAAAAUACGACCCAGUUAGCAUGAAGAUCUCGGUUUGCACUGCCAAGAAGGACUAGCAGACUACACAAUUCUUCUCCUAAUAAGAGACCUUAAAAUCUUACCUUUUUCAGCCAUUCUUCUUGGUGCCAAACGAGUUUGUUUGGGAGAAGGUCUGGUGGCUUGGCUAUUGUCAUCCAGACCUGCCUUGAGUUUUAAAUAGAGGGCGAUCUGGAAUGUGUGACAGCCGCCUCCCUCACCCUUUGCCAGUCUGUCUUCUUUCUGGUGAUGUCAGGCAUCAGGAAGGGCAAAAUUUCUGACCCCUUGAGUUUGCAAUGGAGCAAGCCCAGAGGCUCUUGGGAUGUUAGGUCUGAAAUAAAAGAUUAAGACUUGGUGAACCUCAUCCAGGAGACUGGACGAUUGUUUUGCAUUGAGAAUGAGUUACUUUUUGAUGCUCCCAAACAGAAAUCACUUAGAAGUGGGGAGGUGUGGACCAAAGGGAAGACACGAAGGGAGCAACCAGCUUGAAGAUUGCUCAGGAAAUGGGAUUAAAAAAGCGGAGCACAGACUUUUUCUACAUAGUGCCAUAGAAACACAGAUUUAACCUGAAUAGUGCCAAAAAGAGCAUGCAGAUCAAAAAAGAAGAAACCAAUCCAGGGAUCAUGAAGAACCAGAUGCCACUGACCAACAAAAAUAAGCAUUGAGAUCACAAGAUCUAGUACAUUAUAAUUUGUUUAUUGAUUAAAUCAUUCCAAUCCAAUCCAAUCCAAUGUACAUUUAUUAAGUGCCUAUUUUGUGCCAGGCACUGUACUCAGUCCUUAGGGAUAUAAUUAAUAAAACAGAAGAAAGUCUUGACCUCA